AAGAAAUCGAAAAGCUUUAGUUUACUAUAGAAAAUUUCAAGAAGCAUUCAAAAACUCAUUUCUUGAAAAGAGUAGUAGCAGCCUUGAUCAUGAAUUCAGAACGUAGCAUCCACCUUCCAUUAACAAUAUGCAUCAAAUAGCAGCAUAGUAGAAGCAUUGAACGUGAAAAGAAAUCGAAAAGCUCUAUUUUUCCAUAGAAAAAAUUUCAAAAAGCAUCCAAGAACUUAAUUCUUAAAAAGAGUAGUAGAAGUCUUAAUCACGAAUUCAAAACUUAGCACCCACCUUCAAAUAACAAUAUACAUUAAAUAGCAGCAUAGCAGAACUAGUAUCGAACAUGAAAAAAAAUCGAAAAGCUUUGGUUUUCCAUAGGAAAGAUUAGCAUCCAAGAACUUGAUUCUUGAAAAGAGUGGUAGAAGCUUUAAUCACGAAUUCAGAACUUAGCAUCCACCUUCUAUUAACGAUAUGCAUCAAAUAGCAGCAUAGUAGAAGCAUUAAACAUGAAAAGAAAUCAAAAAGCAUUGAUUUUUCAUAAAAAAGAUUUUAAAAAGCUUCCAAGAACUAGAUUCUUGAAGUAGAAGCUUUGAUCACGAAUUUAGAACUUAGCAUCCACCUUCCAUUAACAAUAUGCAUCAAAUAGCAGCAUAGCAAAAGCAUUGAACAUGAAAGAAGAUCAAAAAGCUCUGAUUUACUAUAGAAAAGAUUUCAAGAAGCAUCAAAAAAAUUGAUUCUUGAAAAGAGUGGUAGAAACCUUGAUCACGAAUUCAAAACUUAGCAUUCAUCUUCCAUUAGCAAUAUGCAUCAAAUAGCACCAUAGCAGAAACAUUAAACAUGAAAAGAAACCAAAAAACUCUGGUUUACUAUAGAAAAAAUUUCAAGAAGCUUUCAAGAACUAGAUUCUUGAAAAGAGUGAUAGAAGCCUUGAUCACGAAUUCAGAACUUAGCAUCCAACUUUCAUUAACAAUAUGCAUGAAAUAGCAGCAUAGUAGAAGCAUUGAACAUGAAAAAAAUCAAAAAGUUCUGGUUUUUCAUAGAAAAUAUUUUAAAAGCAUUCAAGAACUUGAUUCUUAAAAGAGUGGUAGAAGUCUUGAUCACGAAUUCAAAACUUAGCAUCCACCUUCAAAUAACAAUAUACAUCAAAUAGCAGCAUAGCAGAAGUAUUGAACGUGAAAAGAAAUCGAAAAGCUCUGGUUUUCUAUAGAAAAAAUUUCAAGAAGCAUUCAAAAACUCGAUUCUUAAAAAGAGUGGUAGAGACUUUGAUCACGAAUUUAGAACUUAGCAUCCAUCUUCCAUUAACAAUAUGCAUCAAAUAGCAGCAUAGUAGAAGCAUUGAAUGUGAAAAGAAAUCGAAAAACUCUGGUUUACCAUAGAAAAGAUUUGAAGAAGCAUCCAAGAACUUGAUUCUUGAAAAGAGUUAUAGAAGCCUUGAUCACGAGUUCAAAACUUAGCAUCCACCUUCUAUUAAUAAUAUGCAUCAAAUAGCAGCAUAGCAGAAGUAUUGAACAUGAAAAGAAAUAAAAAAAACUCUAGUUUUCAAUAUAAAAGAUUUCAAAAAGCAUCCAGGAACUUGAUUCUUCAAAAGAGUGGUAGAAGCCUUGAACACGAAUUCAGAACUUAGCAUCUACCUUCUAUUAACAAUAUGCAUCAAAUAGGGUCAUAACAGAAGUAUUGAACGUGAAAAGAAAUCGAAAAGCUCUGGUUUACCAUAGAAAAGAUUUCAAGUAGCAUCCAAGAACUCGAUUCUUAAAAAGAAUGGUAGAAGCCCUAAUCAUAAAUUCAGAACUUAGCAACCACCUUUCAUUAACAAUAUGCAUCAAAUGGCAGCAUGCAGAAGCAUUGAACGUGAAAAUUUUUUCGAAAAGACUCUGGUUUACCAUAGAAAAGAUUUCAAGAAGCAUCUAACAACUCGAUCCUUGAAAAGAGUGGUAGAAGCUUUAAUCACGAUUUCAGAACUCAACAUCCACCUUUCAUUAACGAUAUGCAUCAAAUAACUGCAUAGCAAAGCAUUGAAUGUGAAAAGAAAUUGAAAAGUUCUGGUUUACCAUAAAAAAGAUUUCAAGAAGAAUCCAAGAACUCGAUUCUUAAAAAAAAUAGUAGAAGCCUUGAUCACGAAUCUGGUAAGCAGAACUCAACAUCCCCCUACAAUAACAACAUGUAUCAAAUAGCAGCAUAGCAAAAGCAUUGAAUGUGAAAGAAAAUCGAAAAGCUCUGCUUUACAAUAAAAAAAGAUUUCAAAAAUCAUCCAAAAAUCCGAUUCUUGAAAAGAGAAGUAGAAGCAUUGAUCAAGAAAAGAAGUCGAAGCAACCUAUUCUCUUGCAAAAGAGAUUUCAAGAGAACUCGAAGAACCCAAUUCUUGAACGACAUAGUAGAAGCGUUAAGCAUGAAAAGGAGUCAGAAAGCCCUGCUCUUUUGUAAUACAAGAUUCCAAGAAAAUCCAAUAACACAGUUCCUGACAAGAGUACCGAGGACCGUGACGCGAAUCUUUGGACUCUGGACAUUCCCUUCUGCUUCCUGUCUCCCCCACCGAUUAUGGUUGUGGCAUGGUCCUCCACCAUAUAAAGAAUGGCAGUUUCGAUCCAAGAAUCCUUCACGCCUUAGGGUUUUGAGGGUUUUGGUAGAAGGGGAAGACGUCGUGAAUACAAAGAAAGAAUGGGAUCGAGAGGAGACGAUCUUGAACAAUCAAAGAAGAUGAGAGAAGAGUAGCCGGAGAGAACUGAAGGCGGUGUUUCUUGGAACGGGC
Molecule: long non-coding RNA, 2737 nt
Filed under: Phoenix dactylifera (date palm)
Lineage: Eukaryota; Viridiplantae; Streptophyta; Magnoliopsida; Arecales; Arecaceae
Description: long non-coding RNA (PDAC_LNC012551)
Source: RNAcentral